AUUUAUAGGAAGUUGCACCACCGGCUGGCAGUUAUCACACGAUAAGGCGUAGAAUAAGGUGUAGGCGAAGCAUAUUCAACGUUGAUUUUGAACAUUCCAUUGAAGAUAUUUUUUGACAGCAAGGCGAAGCAACAGCAAAUUCUGAAUUCCUUUUGACAGUUGAAAAUGACCUGUUGUGGUUUAAUAAUUGAGCGUGCCGAUCGUGAACCGAUACCGGUGCCUUUAACUGGUGUCUCCGUCCAGGCACGCAUAAUCGACUUGGUUGCCGAGGUAACCAUUCAGCAACGCUACGUGAACAAAGAAAAUCAACCCAUUGAGGCUGUUUAUCUUUUUCCCCUUGAUGAAGGGGCUGGAAUUUGCAAAUUUACUGCUGAAGUAGAUGGGCGUGUCAUCGAAGGUGUUGUCAAGGAAACGAAAGAAGCCCGUGAAGACUAUGACGAAGCAAUCCAGAGCGGACAUUCGGCUUUUUUGGUUGAAGAGAAACUACCGGAUGUCUUCAAAGCUAAAGUAGGCAACUUAGCCGCUGGAUCUGGAGCCAAAAUCAGCUUAACUUAUGUCACGGAAUUAAAAGUGGAAGGAAAGGAAAUCCGUUUUUACUUACCGACUACCAUUGCUCCUCGCUAUGUUCCUAGCAGCGACAAAUCCAGCACGGCGGCUGACCUGGCAUCCAUCCAAUACACAGACCAAUCCAAUUAUCAAGUUGACUUUAACGCCAGCGUGCGAAUGGCAUCGGCCAUCAAAGAAAUACGUUGUCCUACACACAAAAUUGCUGUUAAUCUCGACGCUGCCACGCCGUUGAAUGGGACAUUUCAUUUGGAUAAUGUGGUGACAUCCAUGGAUCGCGAUCUCGUCUUUUACAUUCAAGUGGCCGAGCCAAACCAGCCACGACUUAUUCAUGAGAAAUCUCCAAAUGGUACUACAGCAGUGAUGUUAAGUCUGGUUCCUACCUUCAAGUUGGCUGAACAGAAGACCGAGCUUAUUUUCCUUGUGGAUCGUUCCGGUUCAAUGGAUGGGCCCGGAAUUGGGCAGGCUAAACAAGCGCUUAAGCUGUUUCUUCAUUCGUUGCCCUUGGAUUGUUACGUUAAUAUUGCGGGGUUCGGUAACACCUACGAAGAACUUUUCCCAGCAAGCAGGAAAUACGAUGAAGUGGUCCUGAACACCGCAAAGGCCUAUGCUGGAAAAAUCGAUGCGGAUUUGGGAGGUACUGAAAUACUGCGACCAUUAGAAAUCAUUUUCAAGAAACCGCUUAUCGAAGGCUACUUACGUCAGGUGUUUGUUCUCACGGAUGGAGAGGUAUCCAAUGCGGACGAAGUUCUAAGUCUGGUCCGUCGUCAUAAUGGGCAAGCCCGGGUCUUUGCCUUAGGUUUGGGAAGCAGCGCCAGCCAUCAUCUCGUUGAAGGCAUGGCUCGUGCUGGUAAUGGAACAGCUCUGUUUGCGUCACUGGAAGAACGUCUGGAGAAGAAAGUCAUGCAACAACUUCAAGAUGCUUUACAACCAUCACUUACAGAUAUCAAGAUCAAAUGGGAAGGGCACGGUGAAACCGAACAACAGUCGGAUGCAGUGACCAGCAGACCCGUUCAGACUGAAAAGACGUUGAUGGGAUACGGUAAACCGCUGAAUGCCGAUCCUGCGCCGGAAGCUUGUGUCGAGACACCAGAAAAGAAAUUCCGACAGGCUCCGUGCAAUAGCAUGAUUCCUGCCGUAUUUGAUGGAAGACAUUUGAUAGUGUACGCCCUGCUUGCGGAGGAUGCCCAUCUGCCAAAAUGGGCUGAGGUCGUUGCUGUUUCUCCAGAUGGCCCUCUAACGCUGAAAAUAAAUUUGGUUGAUUCUAAUUUGGAACAAGGCCAAAUUAUUCAUUCUUUAGCGGCAAGGAAACUGAUUCAGGCCCUGCAAGACAGAGAAGAGAAUAAUGAAGACACUAACGCUAAAAAAGAAAUUGUUCAACUUGGCUGUCGAUAUGGAUUAGCAUCGCGAUACACUUCGUACGUGGCUGUCGAUCCCAAAGUGCAGAAGGAACUCAAAGAAUCCUGGAUGAUGAUGAAGUCACGUGAUGUUCCUCUCCAUUUGGCUCAUGGUUGGGGGGGUGGCUUUGGUUUACAGGCGAUGGGCCUGCGCUGUGCCCCACCAGUAGCAAUGGCUGUGGUGGGGCACAACCACGUGUACUGUUUAAGUGGUGGGCCUGAGACGAUGCCAUUUGCCAUGAAUGAUGAUGAUGACGAUGAUGAUGAUGACGAUUAUAGUGAUAUGAGAGAAAAAAUGCUACGCCGUUCUAGCCCUUCACAAAAAGCUAUGGAAUGUGACGAUCUAGAUGUAGAACUGAUGCCGCCGCCGCCGAUGCAAGAGGAUUCUAUCGACAGCGACAGCGACAACGUUCCCGGUAGUAUGUUCGGUGGUACGGCUAAUUUUUCGGAUUUCACGGAAAACCAUCCUGAAGCAAUCGAAACUGAAGGAAACACGGAUGACGACAAAUUAAUGAAACUCGUAUCAAGUCAAAAUUUUGAUGGUUCGUUUAAACUGGAAACAACGUUCGCUAGUCUUCUCGAUACGACAUUAGAUGACAUCAAACAAUCUGGACUGGAACAUUCGUACAGUGAACUAGUAUGGGCUACUGCUGUUGCUUUGGCGUACAUGUCAAUUGCGCUGAUUGAUCUGCAGGAUACUUGGAUAUUGGUGGCUAAGAAAGCGGAAUCUUGGCUACGUUCCUCCCUUCAACCGACUGGAGAAGAUGUCACUUGCACGAAAGCAGCCCAAGAUUUUGUUAGAUCAAAAUUACAUUUGUGAAAAACAUUACCGCCAACUUAGACGUGGAUCGUUCGCUAUUGCAUUUCUUUCACUUUGCAGCAUAAAAUCGUCCGUCUCUCGGUUAUGCACAAAACAAUUUCACUUGUGGCCUACACGGAAUGUUAAACUCACCUGAUAUCCUGAAUGGAAAUAUCAAUCACUUCAAAGAAAUGAGUAGACCUAAGAAUUUUGAAUUAUAUUUACCUAAGAGAAAUUAGAAACAGUUUCACCAAUCUGUUGUCUAAGGUUGAGUUCCAAAACCUUGGAAUUCUAAGUCACUUUAACAGGUUUUUGGGCAGUGAACCGCCGAGACAAAAACGGACCGACAAAAAGGAAAAUGUAAUAUUUCAAAUACAAGUCUUUCGUCUUUUAUUUACAGAACUAUCCGGUGGAACAAAACAUUUCUCUUUGUUUGGAAUGAAACAAACAGAAUGUGGAGAACAACAAGUGCUGUCAUUCAAUAUGGAAUUGUUUCUUGGAGAAAUACAAUAGAAUAUAAUAAUAGA
Molecule: RNA transcript, 3287 nt
Organism: Daphnia magna
Lineage: Eukaryota; Metazoa; Arthropoda; Branchiopoda; Diplostraca; Daphniidae
Gene name: von Willebrand factor A domain-containing protein 5A
Exons: 19
Source: RefSeq, a predicted model, not a curated record